This 285-nucleotide ribosomal RNA is filed under the name Triticum aestivum (bread wheat). Its description in RNAcentral is "partial small subunit ribosomal RNA". Lineage: Eukaryota; Viridiplantae; Streptophyta; Magnoliopsida; Poales; Poaceae. The record is from RNAcentral.
AUGCCUUUCGGUCUGAUGAAUGCACCGGCAACCUUUCAAUGUCUGAUGAACAAAAUUUUUGCCAAGUAUAUCCGCAAGUUCAUGAUUGUUUUCUUAGAUGAUAUUCUGGUAUACAGCCACACUUGGGAAGAACAUCUAGAGCACCUACGAUUGGUUCUAGAAAUUCUGCGUGAGAAUAUUCUGUUUGCUAAGUUGCCCAAGUGCUCCUUUGCACAAACUAGCAUCCAGUAUUUGGGCCACACUAUUUCCAGCACAGGUGUGGCUACCGAUCCAGAAAAGACUUAA